GGGGGGGGAGGCGACGGUGGCCGCGGGGUGGCCGAGGCUCACCCCCGCGCAACGGAACUGUUGGUGCGCUCCGACGGCGCGGAAGCCUCCGCCGAGCGCCGCCUUCUGACAGACAAAGAAGAACUACAAACCUCAGCCAGUCAGGAGCAACCACCAUCAACAAGCCUACUGCCCACUGUGGGAGAAGUAACAGUUCUAUUGAUGCAUCUCAGUGGGGAUGAAUUUCAGAAACAGCACUGCAGCCUCACUUUCUCUUUAGAGAGGUAUCAACACACAUAUACAAGAUCCUGGAUUUGUGCAAGUCACACAGGGACAAAAAUUAAGUUUGACACACUGUGUCUAGUACUGACAGACAGCAGAAGAAAUGAUUUCCUUGAGCUACGUGCUGUAGCUUUUACUAUAGUCGGUUUUGAUUGUGGUUUAAGAACAGAUACUGUAUUUCUAGCAUAUACGUUGUUGCUACUCCAGUCCACAGGGAAGCUGAAAAUUUUCAUGCUUUUUGUGUGAGCUUUGUUAAAAGAUUUGAGAUGCUGAACAAACAAAUUUUUGCUAUUCAGUUAAACUUUAAUAUCCUGAGUAAGACAGCAAUGUGCUUAAUACAGAGGAACUUGCAAAGGUUUCUUAACAGAAAUCUUUCUCUGAAAAGGGAAUAGCAUGUCACUAUUGUUUUAUUGAAUCAGAUUUUCUAGUUCUCCUUUUCUGCGUAUUUAAGUAAGUACUGUUGGAGGCAUGAGGAGAAGACGAAAAUGAUUCAAACAGUAGAUUCUCACUUAAUAAUCAACUAUUUCCUGGAUCACAAGGGGUAUUUUUCCUAGGUAUUUAGUUAUGUAAAUAAAGCUCUGUGUAGUGCAAAAUCCUACAGUAAAAAUAAAUGCCUCAGAACAAUACCAGCAGUUUUCUAUUGUUCACCAGAUAUUACUCCUGGGGAUAAAAUCAAUUUGAGAUUUCCUGUGUUUUGUAUGAUAAGAAUCUCCUGUCUGUCCACAAACAGAUUACUUUUCACAACAUUACGAAUCAAUUAAUCAGUAAAAUGGACCAAACCAUGCAGACAGAUUAAACAAACUUUUCCUCAUCAUUUAAAAAAAUAAAUAAAAAUCUAUAUUUAAAGCAAUGGUGAAAUUUUUGACUGCAAAAUGUAUCUUAAUACACUGCAAGCAAUUGAACAGCCAUAGAAAGAUCAUCUCAAGAUUACUAGUCCUAUUUAAUAGUCCUAACAGUCAGGCAGAUGCAAUUCAUCUAUCACACCUCAGGCCAACUGAGGAGAAAGAAAUACAAAUUAAAACAAUCAAACAAAAAACAAAACAACAAAAGACAGCCUCUUAUUGUAUGCAAAAAGAUGGGACAAAUAGUAUUUUUCAAGUCACCAUUUUGUUAUUUGAGUUCGCACCAUUCCUUGAAAGCACUCUGUUUAGACUCCUUGUGAGUGUAAAUCAUUACUUUUGAGGAAAAAAUAAUGAGAAAAGAGAAAGAGGAACAUGGAAGUUUUUCAGAUUAAGGGCACGAUCCUGUUUCUGUUGGACAAAGUUCUUCUAAGUUCCAUGUUGCCUGCAUUUUGUGUGUCUGGAGAGUUUAAGGAAAGCCUGAAACAGUCCAAAUAGCAUGUAAAACCUUUGAGCUAUACCCUGUUUAAUAAUUCUUUCAACCCUAGUUGUAGCUGAAUCAAAUCAACAAUAACAGUAACUACAGGGCAUUCCUAUUUAUCUUAGGAGCCACCAUGUGCAUAUCUACUUAAGGAGCAGAUUCACAAAGGAAUUCAAGCCAACUUAAGCCUCAUUACUGAUUUAAGAAAGCAAAACAAAACUGCUGUCUUCUUUUUACCUCCAUGAAUCUGGCUCUGCUUCUCAAGUGGAUGUACAGUGUAACAUUGGCUGGAGAAAAGAACUGAGGCAUCUGAGAAUUAACCCUGUUAUUAAAAAGCAUUCCAGCUUACUGCUUGAACAGAGUUGCACCAAUAGAAGAAAGCAGUGGCUCAGGGCAGGAGCUUGGACCAGGCUUUGCAAAGGAAACCUAGGCUGUGAGUGACCUCAGCCAUCUGCAGAAACACCAGGAAGCUGAUGAAACCUUACUUGGCAUGAAAUGGGCAUGCAGGGACAACACAGAGGAUAUAACUUUGUCACUGUUUUGGUUUGGAUGAGAAGCAUGCAUGCUUUGGGUUCAUGUGAAGGAAUGAUUUUAGAUGUAACUGAACUAUAAAGUGCUUGCUAUGGGUGCAGUCAUUGUGUUCACUCAGUCCACAAGCCAAAAAGCAUCAGCUGAUCCAGUCUACAAAAUUCACUCCCAGGCUGCACUAAUUGCAGAUAUAGACAUAACUAUGCCUUCCAUCCUGGGGUUAACUUCAGUCAUUUACUGCUGCCUGCACUGAAAGCACUGCUGCUGUUUGCUCAGCCAAAAAUCUGACGACAGAGGGGCAGAGUAUGUGUAACUCUGUUUAUUAAUAUUUAUCUUUUCCCCACAAAUCUUCCUGCUGAAUGAAGGAAAUAUUACUUAUAUUCUGCUAUACUAUUGGAGUUCUGGAGAUGCACUCUCAUCUGAAGCAUAAAGGAAUUAAUUCUGAUUUGGAUUAUUUUGUCUCUGGUAUUCGUAGGGAUGUAGUUCUCAGCUUUGGAAGAGAUGGAAGGCAGGGAGAAAGUCAAUAUCCUCUUUCAGCAGCUUCCAGAUAGCACAGUGCCUACAAGAGAGUCAUCUACACUGUUAGGAACUAGAACUGAACAGAUAAUUAUUGUUUUUCUGUUUGGGAAAGAAAGGAAACAGAGGAAGGAAAAGUAUGUUAGAUGGAGUCUGAUAGUGCUGGCUCCUAAACUGGAAAACCAUGACCACAGGAUAUAAUCUCUUUCUUCCAUUUCUUGUUUUUUUGUACUAGAUAUGACAAGGUGAAGUCUGAAAGAAAACCAAGUGAUUUGUUACGAAUCAUUUAUUCUUCAAGUUGAUCAAGAAAGCAGUGAUUGUUACUGAUCAGGCAAUACUAUGUAAAUAAAACAAUAGGAGGCAACAUAGGAAGCUAAAUUGGCAUGGAUUGCCAGUUUACAAAGAAACACCAAGGGAAAGAACAACAACAUGAAAAAAAAAACAAUGCACAAAGCUGUACCUGGGCAGUACUGCCAGGAAAAAGACAUUGGAUCCAAAUCUGCAAUUAGAUGAACAGGGCAUGGUAAUGGUUUCAGGGUAGAAAGAUUAAAAUUGAUAGGAAGUCCUUGUGGCUGAGGUGGGAGGCUUGGUGGUUCUAUAUGGAAGCCCCAGAUACAGCCUGCAUCAGACAAAAGGAACUGAGAAAAAGUACUAAGGAAGGUUUAUAAAUUUAUUUGGAUUUCAGUAGAUUAUUUUUCUAUAUGCUGACAACCAAAAAUAAAUUUCAGGUACUGCUUUUUUUCAUUGCUACUCCUUCAUGAAAGAAGCAUGGAAGUUAAGUAAUUUCAUGAGUUAACAAAAAGAUUUUAUCCUUUCUCUUAAGAUGCUAACAAUUAAAAUAUAUGUAGCAGGAUUUUCCCUAGGGUAACUCUACAGUUCUUCAAGGUACAAGGGCAUAUUAGAGAUUACACAGUUAUUAUAAAACCAGUGUAAUGGCAACACAUGCUGUCACCUGGCAGUAUGUGUCUAAUUGAUCUUACUCAAUUACUUAAUUUUAUGACUCGCUUUAGUAAAGGUUAAGACAUUGAUGUUUUAGAAGGCUGUGCUGAAUAAUACCAUUGUUGGAGAUUACUUUCUCAUGUAAUUGCUUCAUUAAAAGCAGGUAAAUAGAGGAAGAGUCAUCCUGUCAGGAAGCACACUGAAACGGAAUAUCCUAUGUCAAAGCAACAGCAUUACUGUCUUACAUACGUAUGUUUUCUAGUGUCUCCCUUUUUGGAGUGGGAAAUACUUGCCUCUUUUUGACUUGCAUAAAUGACAGUAAACUCAAGUGAGAAACUCCUCUACAAUUUUAGCAUUUUUAAGCAUGACAGGGAACAAGAAGGAAAGGCAGCUCAGUGGGCUCUUUGUAGGCCUGUCAACAAAUAUUUGUACUUCAACAAGUAUUUUCAACUGCAAAGCCACAGUUUAUGUGUAGGUGGGAAAGGGUGCUGUGGUUCAGAAGCAAUACUCACUGCAUGCAUGUUCAAGAUAUGCAAAGGAAAAUUUAUUCCAGAGCCUUUGCUAUGGAGCAGUGUCUCUGUAUCCAGUCCUCUUCUGUUAUCCCAGUUUCCCUAAUGCAAUUUUAGUCAGACAAUCUGUGGUCAUAGGCUGAGUGAAGUAUUUAGUCCUUCACUGAAGGGACUUGUGAAGCCACAUUUAGGGAUCAGGAGGGAAAAAUGUGUCAUGUUUUUUCAUACAGCCCUGUGUUGUUACGAUGUUUCCAGUUCUUCUCUGUCAAGGUGAUGCUCAUAUACCUUCACAGGAAACUGCAUGCUGUAAAUAUCGUGGCUUUGAUAACCAUUGUUGAUGUUAUCCUAGCAGGCAAAUAUCAGUACCUUCAAGCUGUUGCCUGCUAGAACCUUCUCAUCCUUUCUUUCUGUCUUUCCCUGGACCUGCCCAGCAGCCAGCUGGAAGACACCCUUCCAGCUCCCAACACUGGGUGUGUCUGGUCUCCCAGCAGAGGAUGCUGAAGGAGUGUCAAUGGGAGCAGAUACAGUUCACCUCACAGGAGAUGGGACCAUUUCUGGGGGAGAUACAGGAGGAGAUUCAAUAGAGCUGUCUCAGUAGAGCAGUGGAGGCUCUAGAAAGGGCGGCACUGCUUCACCACCAUGUUUUUUCUCUACUCUUUUUUGUAGGCCUUUUUCUGGGGAUGCAGAAUGCCCAUGCCCUGGAUUCUUUGGUGGAGUUUUACUGUACGCAUCCUUCCCAUAUACAGCAGGAGCAGACCUAUGCAAGCUCACUCUCCAAUAAACAACAUUUAAACCAAAUGGUUUAGUUCGAUCUCUUGACUCAUUUGUCUUUCACUUAGAGCAGUGAAUCUAAUGCAACAAAUAUCAUAAUUUCCCUCCCUUUGUUUUUUUGUUUGUUUGUUUGUUUGUUUGUUUUGUCUGCUAUCCCCAUUGGAACACAUCUGCUUUCAUUGGUAGUAGUGCUACCAUGGAAGCACAUGCUGCUUCUCCACUCUGCUCCUUCAUUGAGUUCGGCCACUUCUUACUCUUCUAGAACUAAAGUAUAUGAGCUUGCAUUUGGCUACUUCAGAAGGCAUGUUAGUUGAACGAGCCCAGUUUAUCCUGGAAACUGGAUCACACUCUGUAGUGUCCAUUGUCAUCACCAUUUAUUACUUCAUCUGCGCUUUUGGCUCUGCAAAAAGAGACAAAAAAAAAACCCCAAACAAACAAACAAACAAAAAAAACCCAAAACAUUAUUUGAUUUUUUAAAUAUGUUUCCAGAUUAUUCAUAAAAUUAUUACCGGCUCUUGGGUUUUUAAGGUUUUGAUGCUAUUUUGUAAGAUCUGUAAUAUAACAUAUCUUUUUUUCCCAUGUGCCUUAUUAAUGUUAUGCAAUACUAAAUCAUUUUAGUUUGAAGGCCACAAAGUAUCAAGUUAAAUACUGUUCCUAAGUGUAUUACCUCAGCACUGUUGCAAACAUCAAUAUAUUUUUAAGUUCAGCAGAGAACAACCUGAGUUCAGCUGACGAGGCCUUUUUGCAAAACUCUUAGAGUGUUAAUCUGCUUUCAUUGACUGAACUUCAUCUUUUACAUUUUAUAAAUUAUGAGGUCAACCACGUUGUUUGAGUUCAGCUUUGGAGGAUUUCCAUUGUACGCUCAGCAAGGCAGAAAACUCCUCAGCUAGAUCUUCUACAACUACUGACUGAAAGAUAUCUGUGCUCUCCUUUUACCAUAUUUGUUUCUAAUAAAUGUGUUUUAGUAUUUAACUUGUAGACUGGCAAACUGUACAAUAUUCUGAUCAGAUAUAAAUACUUCAUCUUCUCCUUAUCAAAUACCACUAAGCAGCUAACCACUGAACACAUUUUGCAUCAUUAGCUCUCUUAUGUCAGUCUAGUACCAAGCAUUUACUGACAUUCUAACUUAUUUUCACAGAACCACAGGAGUUGCUACCACCUCUCUGGGCAGCCUUUUCCAGAGCUUCGUCACUCCAACAGUAAAGAAGUUUAUUGUGUUUAUACUUCAGGUUUCCUUCUAUUGUCUCUAGGUUUUCUAGACUUGAAUUUUCUUUGGCUUCAUUUGGGUGUUUUUUUAUUGUUGUGUUUAUGAUUGCUGCCUACUUUUAAUUAUUGACAUUCCUUCCUUUUCCAGAAAGCGCUUUUAAUAAAAGUGUUUUUUAAUAUCAAAAUAUUGUGGAACACAAUAAAUCUUCUGAUAUACAUCCUGAUUUUUGUUAAUACCAUGAUGUUUCUUGACUUUUUUUUUUCUUAAGAGAAAACAAAUCAGGCAGAUGUAGACAAUUUAUCCACAUGAGUGUAUCUCAGUGUAUGGUAACUGUUGAGUCACAACCUGAACCACUGAUUGAGCAGCUGGGGAAAGGACCAGGUCAGCCCUGGGAGCAAGAGGUGAAGGUGAUUCUCCUGUGUGACCAGAAGGCGUGGAGCCUGGCUGCACCUCUCUUAGACCCCAUUUAAGGGCUGACUGCCACUGGGGAAGGAUCUCUUUCUGGAGAUCCCUUUUUGGUGGAGUUUUGCUCUGUGAACCUGGAAUCUUCAGAUGCAAGUGAGCAAUCUUCUCUCCUUCCUUUAUAGCAUCUUUCCCAUCAUAUUGAUCCGUGCAAUUGCUACACUCAGUAAAUACAAACACAUAGGUAAUGCCCACUAAUACAUAAUUACGUGCACAUAUGAAAGAGCUUGGCUGAGCCUGUGCUCUGUCUGCCCUUGUUUGAUGUAAUUAGUUGUGACCACUUUUCUUCAGGCAAUCACAAGCUUCCAGCCUUGCAGUCAUUCCACCUCUACCCACCACACUCGGGUCUGUAUGCGUGGUACCUAUUUUGUGCUGAAAAAUUGUUGCUGGUAACUUCUGGAAACUCUAAUGCAGCUUUACCACUGUCUUCAUGACGCUUCCAUUCUUCACAAAUCAGUGAUGAUAAUGCCAGUUUUAUUUUCACAUAGCAUUGACAGGCACUUAAGGGCUUAUUAGCUUUUCUUAUUUUUUUUUUUUUUAAAUUGCUUUUAGCAUUGAUGACUAAAUGCUUUCCAUACAUUAUUCAUUUUUACAUUGCAUCAAACUGUAAAGAAGUAUGUGAUAUACUAGAAAAACUACAGUUUUGGUCCCUGAUUGAUUUUCUUUCAUAGCUUUUGUGUUUCAUUAUCUUUCAGUGAUUAAUGAUAUUUUAUAGCAUUGUAUUAUUAAUGUAGUCAUACAAAUUAAAUUUGUGUAUAACUGACAUCUAAAUCUUAACCAAGUGGCACCAAAAGCAACAUAGCAAUAGACAAGAUAAGAGUUCAGCCUUGGUAUUACCAUUUUCCUCAUGUUGCAUUUGAUGCUACAGAUAAGUAGUAACUGACAAAGAAAAUUCAUUGACUUGAUUCCAACUGACAAGAUUUCACAUAUGCUGGAACAUAUCUUGUUGCAGUUUCUGUAAAAAUGGAUACUGUUGUUUAACUUUUCUUUUAAAUUAUUUUUUGCUUUACCUAAGAUAUUCUAAGGUGUUCCUACACUUGCUUUCAUUGUUCAUCAGCAGGUAGCAUAUGAGUAAACAGAAAGCACACAGGAAAUAUUGCUAUCCUUCUGUUGUUAUUACAAAUUUGAUUUGGCGUGUUAAUAACGUGACUGUCAAAGCUGUUUAUAUUUAAAUGUUCAGUGAAGAUAAUCAUCACUAUAGAGUUUGGGCUCAGAAAAGGGUGAUAUCUUCCUCCAGAAGCAAAUCUGUGAUGGAAAUUUCCAUGCAGAUCACUUGACAGGAGAUUACAAGUUUUUCUGCAGGCCAGAUACAGACUGAGAGAUACAGAACAUGCAGAUGCUUUCAUCUUGGAGUUGCCAAAUGUACUGCAGUUCCUUUUUGCUUUCUUACUCAAAACCCACUCAAAAGUGGGUCAUACCCAAUUUUGCUUCAGUAAAAGCAUUUAAGUAACAAAAUAUGCAUUGGAUUCUGGAAAAUACAUACCGAGUCAUGCACAGGUAUUACUCAUUCUUUGUGAUAUUACAUUCAAAUUUUCCCAGUAUUAAAGAAAAAUAUUUUUUCGUAAUAAGUAAUACGCUGCCCCAAAGAUAUUGAAACACACUCCAACUGUACCUAAUAGAGCUGGUGUAACCUCCAGUCAAAUGAGAAAAAUCUGCAUAGAUUCCAACUCAGCUAUGUGUAUCACAACAUUUCCAGUACUUGUAGAAAUAGUUGGCAGCGCUACUUCUGUCCUUCAGGUGUAAUCCAAGCUAAAACCUGCCUGCAGGCAAAUCACGUAUAACAAUUCAGAGUUUAUCCUCGGACAGAGAGCAUGUUGGGUCUUGGCUGUACUCUCUUUGUGCUUUGUGCAAUAAUUUGUACUCCUGUGAAAUAACUACAAAAAAACCACCACCUGUCUGACUGGGGAUUUGGUUGUCUUUUACAGAGCUCCACAGGGCUAUGUGAAGAAGGCUUCCAAAGGAGAGAUCACGUCUAGAACCCUCCUGUAGAUGGAUCACAGGCUGUUGGGCAUGUUGAAAAUGCUGUUGCGUUGGCAGACAAGCUUUGGCAAGCUGCUUCAUAGAGGCUGAAAGGAGGUUUUGCUUCCAGCUCCACUCCUCUGCUGGAAUUACUGUCUGCACAGUAAUGGGGGAAUGCAGACCUUUGACUUAGCAGCUCUGGUGCAAAGGGUAAAACAUUCACCUUUGCUAAAGGUUAAAACUGAAAUGCUUUUCUGGAAGCAUAGGUGAAUUUGCACUAAAACAUCAAACUGAGUAGAAGAAAGAGAAGCACUUGAUUCCUCCUGCUGCUCUGGUGGUUGGGAAGAUGGGAUGGAAAAGGUGAGCGGCCUUCCAUGAGGUGCAGCACAGAAGGGUGAGAAUGGCAGCAUUUGAAAUUGACUCAAUGUAACUACUGGUGCUGGUAUGAGUGACUGGCAAAUGACCAUAGUGAUUUAUGUGGAUUAUUAAGUGUCGAUAAAGAUAUUAUGUCGAUAAAGAUAUUAAUAUUAAGUGUUGAUAAAGAUACAUGAAAAUUGCACAGAAUGUGGAGCACAGGUUUGUAACUUCGAUCACCAAUUACCAAAUAAUUCCAGAGACUUACCUGUGAACUGACACUAUUAAGAUCUUCUUUAAGGUAUGUCUAAAUGGAGAAAUUCCACCAAUGUGGUGAUGGAAGAAUUAAAUUUGUGAUUCUUGCUAGACUUAUCAAGUUCCAAAUCUAAAAGUGCUCCAAAACAUUCUGGUGCCACUGCAAAAAUUAAGCUUGAGCCUAAGCCAAUGCAAAGGAAUCUUCCUGACUCUGUACAUUGGCUUGACUAUAGAAAGGGCAAAUGGCCCAAUUGUAAAAUUCCUGGCUACACCCAGAGUUGUUAAACUUCAGUAAAAAUAUAUAACAUUUUGUGGAAUUUUUAUAUUCCCACUGUUUGGUAAGGUCUAAAUAAAGCCUUUGAAGCUUCAUUUACUCAUUUUAAAUGCAGGUGUUCAAACUGGAACACAUACAUUCACCAAAACAAGGCACAGCACAAAUAGUAAAGAAGGCGAUGUGGUGGAAGACGGCAUACAUCAGUAGGAAAACAGUUAACCAAGAUUUAGUUCAUACAUAUUUAAUUGAACAUGUAUUUAAGCCAAGUAUUCUUUCCCAUAUCUUUGCAUACAUACUUCUAUGUCUCUUUCUGUAUAGCGAACUUUUCAGUCCUCUCGUUUCCCCAUGUUUUUAUACACUCAUGAUUUUUUUUUUGUACUGCUUAGACCUGACCUCUCUUAUUUUUUCCCUGACUGUAUUCACAUCUGGCUUUUAUCAUUUUGUUUGUCUGGCUAACUGCAAAGCAAUACCCUCCAAUCUUGCUAGUCUAUCAGCAGUGUGAAAAUACCACGAAAUGUAAACCACCAGCAAAUGUGUGAACUACCAGAAAGCUGCUAUUUGCAGAGUGGUGAAUUACAGAGAGCGUAAGAAAAGCAGCAAAAAUGUUUUGUUGUUAACACUGUCACUUCUUCCCCUUCCCCCCCCCCCCCUUUUUUCUUUUUUGCCAUGGAUUUUGUAAUGGGUAAGAUUUACUUAAAAAUAACAAUGAAUUGCAUGAACACCUUGAAAUUAACAGUAGUUAAAUAUUGACAUUAAUUUCAAUAUUUUAAAAAUCAGGUUUUGCAGAAUAUAUCUUUGUAUAUUGUUCCUGAUAUUUGGCAGACUGCUCUUGGCAAAUGCUCCUGUAGUGCCUCAGUCACAUCAACGCACAGAUUGCUGUGUUGCCAUAAAACUAAUUUCAUUUGCAAUUUCCACAUGGGGAGAGGAAAUUGCAAUUAAGUGACUGAGGCAUGAAUGUGUUUCGUUCUGCUGCAUCUGCGGUCAGGAUGAUUGUCUGUAUCGAAGUGAUGGUACAGACACGUGGGUCAGUGUCAUUUGAAAUUUCUUCACCAAGAUUCAGCAAGUCUGUUAAUCCAUGUUUAAAAAUAUGACUAUAAAAUAACAUUAAUAUAUUAUAUUUAAUACUUAUUAUCUCUCUUCUGCUGCUCAGAGGGCUAACUGGCAUUAGUCAGGGGAUGGUGAGCAAUUUCUCGUGCAUCACUUGUUAUACACAUUCAUAUAUAUAUAUAUAUAUAUAUGUCUUUGUCAUAACUAUUAUCCUUUUCCUUUUCUCUAUCUUAGUAAAUAGUUCUAUCUCAACCUGCGAGUUCUACUUCAUUUUUUUCAGUUCUCUCCCCAUCCCACUGGGAAGUGGGGGGAGUGAGCAAAAAACUGUGUGGUGCUGAGCUGCUGCUGGGUUAAAACAUAGCACUCAUGACUGUGCUUCACAAGAUCUGUCAUAAACAGGUUCUGGGUUAAAGGAAAUGGCAUAGCUUGUAGCAGCAGCAACGUAAAACCCAGAUCUUAUCCUCAGUGAAUCUGUAAAAUAUUUUGCUGCUGACUUCACUGAGGUCAGAAGUAGACUAUCAAUUUGGUAAACUUGUUUUUAACCAUCAGUCUAGAUUUUCAUCAUUAAAAACAGGGGAAGAUGUGAGCUUGGAGGGUCUACUCCAAACUAGAAAUGUAUCCCUACGACAUCCAAAACUUCAUUCCCAAAUAUUAACGGCCAAUGAAAAGAACAAAUAAAUUCACUACAAAAUAAUAAUUAUUUCAGUCCCUUUGAUUUCAUAAGCUGAAUGCUUUUAUUAGAUAGUAUAUUUGAGUAAUGCUUGAGGAAUUGUUCCAGUAGUAAAAGGAAACACAUAUUCUUCCCUAGUUACAGCUGCAAUGUUGAUAUAAGGCUUUUAACCAACGGUCAGGACAAUGUGUGAAAGUGUCAUGGUAUAAAACAUAACAAGCUGCUGCUUCUCAUUUCUUAGCUAUGUCUGAGUGAAAUGAAAGUUCAUUGGAGAACUUGUGAAUAAACUAUAGGGAAAUAUGAACCUGUAUAGGAGCUUAGAAAUGCUGCACAGAGAUUAUGACAUUGCAAAGUGCUUUUGAGUUUGUUAACGCUACACAGUAAAGCCAAACUGGUAGAAUAAUUAUCUGAUUUUUUUUUUAAUUAGAACUUGUUAGUGUUUCAUAGAUUUCAAUAUCAAUCUAGUACUAAUAUUUUGAAAUCAUAAUGCUCAAGUAGUACUUAAAGUGGAUGCUAUUUUUAGCAGUAAUUACAUUUUUCGAUAGAACUUAACUCCAUGUGACCUCUUUGUAGAGCCAAUAGUAUUUUGCUAAGUUAGCAGCUUUUUGCUAUUUUUCUUGGGGGAGAAGUAUGUUUGUUUAAAAAAAAAUCCUUAAAAAUAUUAUUUCCAGAAUGAAUAGGACAAUAAUAAUCUAAAUAUAGUUGGCUCACUUCUAAUAAUUUUUUCCUCAGAAACAGUUUCCAAGUACAACCACUGGAAAUAGGCAAAUACUAAGAGACUGAUGACAUUCCCUAAAGACUGACAGCUUUUCUUAUUUAUAUAUUUAUAUUACAUAUUUUUACAAAACAUAUGUACAUAUAUACAUGCACAUAUAUUUAUAUUUUUAUAUAUAUUCAUAUAUAUACAUAUGCUGAAAGUUCACUUUUUUUGUCCUUUUCAUCCUCUUUUAGGAGCCUACUAGAUCCAUGGAUCAGGCAUGUAACAACCUUACAGUGACUGAAGUUCUGAAGUUCAAAGGGCUUUAGUUUUGUUUGUUUUCUAAUAUUUUGUCUAAACAUUAGGAUCAAAUGUGACAUAAUUAUUAAAAUGCUUCUGAUUUACUGAA
Long non-coding RNA from Gallus gallus (chicken), 12178 nucleotides. RefSeq lists it as uncharacterized. Lineage: Eukaryota; Metazoa; Chordata; Aves; Galliformes; Phasianidae. The record is from RefSeq and is a predicted model, not a curated record. The transcript is spliced from 2 exons.